CAGGGCUAGUUAUAGUUAUAAAUGUAUUUAUAGUUAUAAACAGGGCUAAUCCUAGUUAUAAAUGUAUUGAUAUGAUUCAUAGUUAUAAACAGGGCUAGUUAUAAUUACAUUCAUAAAUAUGAAUGUAUUUAUAGUAUCUUUGAAGUUUCUCACAAUUCAAAUAAAUGAACAAACAAGAAGUCAGCGACUGCUUGUAAUUGGAUAAUAUAUGUUUUAUAGGAAUAGUGACUUAUAUACGGUAGGUGUAAUGUAAAAUGGGAAUCGACUGAACAGCGAUUUCUAGUGGCAAAGGACGGGACCGCAUGCAAAGCUGGAUCAAAACGGGGAGUUUAAAACGCACACACGUUAUGUGUGUACAAAUAAAACGCUCGAGCAUACUAUAUAUGUUGUAUUAAUGGGAGGCGUAUUCAUAAAAGGAAGACACAGGUUGAUUUAAAGGUGUUUACUGCUUGUAAACACGGUAACACAGGGCGUCCGUCCCCCAAAAGAGUCCCCGACUUUAGUUCCGCAGUCGAACACCAAACAAUGAGAGGCCGUUUCUCAAUUCCAAGUAGGGAGAGCCGGGUCGAUUGAAACACGGGACGAUUGAAACACAGCGAUUUACUCGAAAACCACGCAAGGCUUUCACGUCAAAAUUCGUCACUACGUUCAGCAAGCAAGACUGGCCAACCCCGGGAAAUGUUGUGUAAUGACGUCACGCCGUUCAGAUGUUAUCCCGCAAACUUGUUUUCGAGAGCUUUUACUGAGAGAAAAAUGCCACGCGUAAAGAAGAACCAUGUCGCGUUGUCACGCUACCUCAAGGGGAGGGCAGAGGAGGGCAGUGAAGCCAUUCAUAUUGGGCUCACCCCUAAUGAGCUGCCCAUUCCCUGCAUCCUGGUCCAGGAAGGACUGGAUCACCUCCUUCAUGGAGCGCAGUAGCAGCCUCCCCCUUCGGCGUCCAGAGGCCACUAGCCAACAACGGUUGUCCAGCUUCAAUCAAAACAAUGUCAACUUGUUCUACCAAAAUUGAAAGACGGUGCUGGACCGGCACCAGUUCCAGGCCAAGGAUAUUUGGAACAUUAAUGAAACCGGGGUCACCACUGUCCAGGUGCCAGACCGUGUCGUCGCCCAGAUGGGGCAGAAGCAGGUCGGGUCAGUGACCUCAGCGGAGAGGGGGACCCUGGACCCAAUUGAGAAUCUCUCUCUCUCUCUCUCUCUCUCUCUCUCUCUCUCUCUCUCUCUCUCUCUCUCUCUCUCUCUCGCAUAUACUGUAAAAUAGGCACACACACAGCUAUCAGAUGACAUGAAGCACCAGACAAGGACACCUUCUAAUCCCAUUUAGGAAAAGCACAUUUGGUCAACAAUCAUUUUCUGUAGAGCAAUACAAUAUUGGAAUUCACUGCCUACCGCUAUCAAAGAUAUACAUUCAUUCUCCACUUUUACAGCACACCUUAAAACGUGGCUGUCCGUCAACUACUGCACACAUUAAUCUCUGUCAGAGGUGAUGUGUCUGUCUGAUGUGUCAUUGUUGCCGCCACUCCAUCUCUGCUACCUGCCUGCGCUAUCUUUUCCCUGUCUCCUGUGUAUUGGUUUUGUGACUUGAAAUGCCUUGAUGUCUUUGCCAUCAUCUGUUCAUGUUUAUUUGUUCUUGCUCCAAUUGUGUCCAAUAUGUUUGUCUUUCUCCCCUUUUGCUUAGGCCUGCUGUAAUCAUAAAUUGAAUGUAAUAUAUUUUAUCCGUACUGUAUUUUAGGUUGCCUAUUGACAACUGGCACGGGACUACAGCUGGAAAUUUGCCAAAUAGGCUAAAGCUGCUAAGGGCCGAUACAUAGUCGACGCAUACGCGUCCUGAAGGCUUCGCGACGCGACGCUUCGGCCGCCAUUUGCGUCGACGCGUAGCAAAACGCGUCCUCCCAAUUUUGAUACGCGACGCGCCGAUCCAUGCAAUACUAUGCGUUGUCGGAGGGGGCGAUACUGCAAAUAUUGUACGUUAAUUUCAACUUUAGGUUAUAUUUACGGAAGAAAAUUCGAAUGAAAUGGCGGGCGAAGAGGAAAAAUUGUGCGAGCAAAUAAGAUUAUAUGAGCAUUUAUAUGACACUUCAUCCGUGUUACAUUCCAACAAGAAUGCUUUGGAGAAUGCGUGGAGGGAGGUUGCAAGUGCAAUGGAAAAAUCGGUUGCAAAAGUUAAAACAGACUGGAAAGCUGUCCGGGACAAAUACGCAAGAGCGCAUAAAAAGUGGAAGAUAGCGUGCAGAAGUGGUGCAGGGCAAAUAACGUUCGGCUAUCCUAAAAUCUUGACCCAACUUAGCUGGUUGAGCGAGUGCCUCAGGCACAGGUCCACCGAAUCAAAUUUUCCGGUGUGUAGGCAUAAUCAACGUGUGUGUGUGUGGAGAGAGAGACUUUUUUCAAUGUAUUUUGUAAUGGUAGGCUAUUUACUUGGUCAGGAUGUUUGAAAACAGGUGUCUUUCUGUAGGCAGGUGAGGGAGACGAUGAGGAGGAGGAGGAAAGGCCUAAUUUGCAGGCAGAUCAGGCACCUCCAUCAACCCCCAACCCCGCCUCAUCCCUAUCCCAAUUUCCACUUCUAUCUGACCCUCUAACCACUACCUCUUCCACAUCUCACCCUCCCACCACUGUGAUGGCUUCUACCUCUACCUCUUCCCUUCUUCCACCCCACCCUUCCCCCGCGACACGAGUGGCUUCUGCUACCUCUUCCUCACUAUCCGACCCUACCACCACUCUGAUGACUUCUGCCUCUUCUUCCACCCCACCCUCCCACCACCCUGACUGGAGUGGCUUCGACCGUUCCUCAGUCAGUUACCCCAUCCCCCUACCCCGACAUCAUCAGCCUCCCGUGGGGGUAAAAGAAAGAGGAAAAGCAUCAGGCCGAAUAUUGAUCCAUGCGAGACUGCCCUCCCCGAUAGGCUGCAGGAUAUUCGGCAGGAUAGAGAGAAGGAGAUGGAGAAGGCGAGAGAAAGGGUGGAAGAGAGGGAGAAUGAGAGAGAGAGAGAAUGAGAGAGAGGGAGAGAGAAAGGAUGAGGGAACGAGAUAUGAAUGACAUUCACUUCUCCUUUACUAAUUACCUGUGCCAAUUCAUGCGAACCCUUCCACAGGGGCAAAGUGCUUUUUUGAUGCGCGACAUCAAACCGCUGAUGCGGGAUUAUGAGCCAAUUUAAUGAUUUUCUUGUCACCCGAUAUUCUUUCUAUGACUGGCCUUAUUUGUUUUAGCCUAAUUUAAUUAAUUGUGUAAUGUUUUGUGUUCACAUUCUGUGUGUUCAUGUUCUGUGUGAAACAUAAGUUCAGUAUAUAGCCUCUUUGAGUGAAUGAAAUUUGAAAGUGUGAGUGAAUGAAAAAUGUGUGCAUGUAUGGUGGGUCAAGUUUCUGUAUUUGAUGAAUAAACCCCUUUUCUCUAAUGUUUCCUACCAUAUAAUUUCUGUGGACAUUAUGCGCUAUAGCUUUGGCUAUAGGCGUACACUUAAAUAAUUCAUUCAUCUGUCAAGGCAGUAGCUCGUUGUAUAAA
This is a long non-coding RNA of Gadus chalcogrammus (walleye pollock), 3493 nucleotides long. RefSeq lists it as uncharacterized. The record is from RefSeq and is a predicted model, not a curated record. NCBI's taxonomy places the organism in Eukaryota, Metazoa, Chordata, Actinopteri, Gadiformes, Gadidae. The transcript has 4 exons.